ACUCCUACGGGAGGCAGCAGUUAGGAAUAUUCGGCAAUGGGGGAAACCCUGACCGAGCGACACUGCGUGAAGGAGGAAGGCCUUAGGGUUGUAAACUUCUGAACGAGAGACGAUAAUGACGGUAUCUCGGUAAUAGCACCGGCUAACUCCGUGCCAGCAGCCGCGGUAAUACGGAGGGUGCGAGCGUUAUCCGGAAUCACUGGGCGUAAAGCGUGCGUAGGCGGCUUUUUAAGUCGGAUGUGAAAUCCCGAGCUAACUUGGGAAUUGCAUUCGAUACUGGGAAGCUAGAGUAUGGGAGAGGAUGGUAGAAUUCCAGGUGUAGCGGUGAAAUGCGUAGAGAUCUGGAGGAAUACCGAUGGCGAAGGCAGCCAUCUGGCCUAAUACUGACGCUGAGGUACGAAAGCAUGGGGAGCAAACAGGAUUAGAUACCCUGGUAGGUCAGUC
RNAcentral lists this ribosomal RNA (444 nucleotides) under uncultured bacterium. Its description in RNAcentral is "bacterial SSU rRNA". It matches the Rfam family "Bacterial small subunit ribosomal RNA", at positions 335 to 800 of the family's 1533-position model. The record is from RNAcentral.